Molecule: ribosomal RNA, 525 nt
Filed under: uncultured Sordariales
Lineage: Eukaryota; Fungi; Ascomycota; Sordariomycetes; Sordariales
Description: eukaryotic LSU rRNA
Rfam family: 5.8S ribosomal RNA (bases 160-313)
Source: RNAcentral
GGUGACAGCGGAGGGAUCAUUACAGAGUUGCAAAACUCCAAACCAUUGUGAACGAACCCGUUAUAGUUGCUUCGGCGGGUGGUGCGCUGAAAUCACCCGCCGAUAGCAUGCAAUUUCUAGAUUACAGUGGAUCUCUGAGUAACUUAUUUAAUAAGUCAAAACUUUCAACAACGGAUCUCUUGGUUCUGGCAUCGAUGAAGAACGCAGCGAAAUGCGAUAAGUAAUGUGAAUUGCAGAAUUCAGUGAAUCAUCGAAUCUUUGAACGCACAUUGCGCCCGCUAGUAUUCUGGCGGGCAUGCCUGUUCGAGCGUCAUUUCAACCAUCAAGCCCUAUCCAAGCUUGUGUUGGGGCCCUGCGGCUGCCGCAGCCCCCUAAAUGCAGUGGCGGGCUCGUUGUCACUCCGAGCGCAGUAGCGUAUCUCGCUCUGGGCGUGGCGACGGGUGCUAGCCGUGAAACACUCACUAAGGUUGACCUCGGAUCAGGUUGGAAUACCCGCUGAACUUAAGCAUAUCAAUAAGCGGAGGA